GAUGAACGCUGGCGGCGUGCCUAAUACAUGCAAGUCGAACGAACAGACGUUGAGCGUGCUCUUCUACCGUUAGCGAAGGACGGGGGAGUAAGGCGUAGAUAACCUUCUUUUAAGUCGGGGUGAACUUCGGAAAACACGUGGCAAUAAUGGCUAAUACAUCCUACUGCAUGGUUCAGUAGGGAAAGAGGGUUUUGGUGUCUUUUACAGCUGUUUUCGCGUCGCAUUAGCUAGUUGGUGAGGUAACGGCUUACCAAGGCUACGAAGCGUAGCCGACCUGAGAGGGUGAUCGGCCACACUGGAACUGGGACACGGUCCAGACUCCUACGGGAGGCAGCAGUGGGGAACAUUGGACAAUGGGCGAAAGCCUGACGGAGCAACGCCGCGUGGGUGAUGAAGGUUUUCGGAUCGUAAAACCCUUUUAUUGGGAAAGAAAAGCAGUAUAAUUAAAUAUGCACGUCUUGACGGUACCUAAUCAGAAAGCCACGGCUAACUACGUG
RNAcentral lists this ribosomal RNA (497 nucleotides) under uncultured bacterium. RNAcentral describes it as "partial 16S ribosomal RNA". It matches the Rfam family "Bacterial small subunit ribosomal RNA", at positions 28 to 507 of the family's 1533-position model. The record is from RNAcentral.